This 263-nucleotide ribosomal RNA is filed under the name uncultured bacterium. RNAcentral describes it as "partial 16S ribosomal RNA". It matches the Rfam family "Bacterial small subunit ribosomal RNA", at positions 335 to 613 of the family's 1533-position model. The record is from RNAcentral.
UUGCCUACGGGACGCAGCAGUGGGGAAUAUUGGGCAAUGGGCGAAAGCCUGACCCAGCAACGCCGCGUGCAGGCCGCCGGCUUUCGGGUUGUCCCCUUCUUUUGCCCGGGCCGCGCAGACGACGGUACCUGUCGAAUAAGCCACGGCUAACUACGUGCCAGCAGCCGCGGUAAUACGUAGGUGGCAAGCGUUGUCCGGAUUUACUGGGUGUAAAGGGCUUGUAGCCGGGCUGACAAGUCAGAUGUGAAAUCCGGGGGCUCAAC